GCCCUGCUUUGAGCCCCCACAUGCCUGCAUGUGGCUAUGGAGGUCAAGCUGUAGUGCUAUGGCAUGCGCUCACCUAUAACUGGGGCUGCUUGCCCACGGCAGGCGGCCCUUUAACCUUGAGCCUUAUUG
Molecule: small nucleolar RNA, 129 nt
Organism: Jaculus jaculus (lesser Egyptian jerboa)
Lineage: Eukaryota; Metazoa; Chordata; Mammalia; Rodentia; Dipodidae
Source: RefSeq, a predicted model, not a curated record